This 218-nucleotide long non-coding RNA is filed under the name Zostera marina. RNAcentral's name for it is "long non-coding RNA (ZMAR_LNC003963)". The record is from RNAcentral. Lineage: Eukaryota; Viridiplantae; Streptophyta; Magnoliopsida; Alismatales; Zosteraceae.
GACAAGACGGCCCAGACGGACGGAUGGGCGGGCGGACGAGCGGACGGACGAGCGGACGGACGGGGCCGACCGUACGAACCCACGAGGCCCAAUGACAACAAGUGAAGGCUAUAAAUACCUCUCCUGGUCCAACUGGGAGGGGGGUUGAUAAUUCUGAGAGAGUGAACACUGGAGAGUUGAGGUUGUGGGCUUACACCGGCGAGCACACGCACCAACAU